GACGAACCGAGCGAACGUUGUUCGGAUUUACUGGGCGUAAAGGGCGCGUAGGCGGUCGUGACAAGUCACUUGUGAAAUCUCCGGGCUUAACUCGGAACGGUCAAGUGAUACUGUCGGACUAGAGUACAGAAGGGGCAACUGGAAUUCUCGGUGUAGCGGUGAAAUGCGUAGAUAUCGAGAGGAACACCUGCGGCGAAGGCGGGUUGCUGGGCUGAUACUGACGCUGAGGCGCGAAAGCCAGGGGAGCGAACGGG
RNAcentral lists this ribosomal RNA (254 nucleotides) under uncultured bacterium. Its description in RNAcentral is "partial 16S ribosomal RNA". It matches the Rfam family "Bacterial small subunit ribosomal RNA", at positions 524 to 776 of the family's 1533-position model. The record is from RNAcentral.